GGCACUUUGGCGGAGUGGCCUAACGCGGUGCCCUGCUAUACCCACUACGUGGAUUAGCUAGUCCAGGCAUUUCCUUCGGGAGCGUGAGUUCGAAUCUCACAGGUGUCG
Aspergillus bombycis is the source of this 108-nucleotide transfer RNA. It matches the Rfam family "tRNA". From Rfam's summary of the family: Transfer RNA (tRNA) molecules are approximately 80 nucleotides in length. Their secondary structure includes four short double-helical elements and three loops (D, anti-codon, and T loops). Further hydrogen bonds mediate the characteristic L-shaped molecular structure. tRNAs have two regions of fundamental functional importance: the anti-codon, which is responsible for specific mRNA codon recognition, and the 3' end, to which the tRNAs corresponding amino acid is attached (by aminoacyl-tRNA synthetases). tRNAs cope with the degeneracy of the genetic code in two manners: having more than one tRNA (with a specific anti-codon) for a particular amino acid; and 'wobble' base-pairing, i.e. permitting non-standard base-pairing at the 3rd anti-codon position. The record is from Rfam. Lineage: Eukaryota; Fungi; Ascomycota; Eurotiomycetes; Eurotiales; Aspergillaceae.